Long non-coding RNA from Homo sapiens (human), 1555 nucleotides. The record is from Ensembl. Lineage: Eukaryota; Metazoa; Chordata; Mammalia; Primates; Hominidae.
GGUUCUGAUUCUACUUCCUCAACAAGCUACAGCAUGGCAGUAUCUGCCACCACUUGUUUUGGUCCAAGGGCAGAAAUCAGCAUCCUGGAAACCAAUCAGUACUUGCGCUCUGAACUGGAAAAGUGCAAACAGAACUUCCAAGACCUCACAGAGAAAUUCCUGACAUCCAAAGCUACUGCCUACUCCCUGACCAAUCACCUGCAGAAAUAUAGAUACAUGAUCCCUUAAUUCAGGCUCAGGCUGAAGAACUGACCCACUUACGACAGAAGACACAGGAAGGGAGAGGUGUCUGCUACCUUUUUACCCAGCAUGUGAAGAACACAGUCAAGUCUUUUGAGGGCCUUCUCAGGAACACUGGCAUUGCCUACUACCAGAGACAGAGAUUCUGUGAGCAAAUGGUACAAGGAAGCCAGCUGACAGAGAUCCUUGUCAGAAAACUUGUCACAGAAAAUCACAACGGUAAGAAAAAUGAAGACAGGCAAAAGCCACUGGCUCCUAGGCACACUCUACUCCCGGUCAAAAGUGGAUUGUAUAUGUCCUCUUUGAUGUGAUGGUCCCUUUGGUUUUGGUGCCUCUUCCAUGAGCUUCAGAUCAGAACUAGCUAUGUGGUUCCAGGCUGCCUUGGUUUCAUCCCUUGUCUUGCCUACUCCACCAGGCUCAGGAGGGACAUCAAGGAGGAAGAAAUGGAUAAAGUCCUGGAGGGACUUCAAACAGUAUUUGACCCAUUCCAGCCGCCAUGACUCCCACCAGCUUCGCAGCAGCAAUGCCUUCCUCUUUGAUGCACAGGAAGGCCCCUCGGCUGUGGAUAUAGCCAAAGAUGAGAUCCAGAGACAGCGGUAGCACCUGAAGGAGACCCUUUUCAUCAACAACUGCCUGUGAGAAAAGCUGGAAUGUCAUCUCAGCAGCUUUGAUGAAGAAAAUGCAUGCACCUCUAAACUCUACAGGCACAUCAUAGAUUCCAUCGUCCAGCUGUAUAAUGAAAACAGAGUUCUCAGAGAACACCGGAGACUCCCCCGACUUGCCUGAAUCAAGUUUCUAGAGGUAAGCGGUGAAAAUCCACAAUAUGAAGUCACUCUCAGACGGGUCCCUUCUCUUGUCACACUCCACUGUAGAAACAAAAGAGGACGGGGAAGCCAGAGCUGCUCAAAACCUUAUAACCCACAAUUGUCAUAGUUAUUCUCAACUUACACAGGGCUGCUUUCUAGACGCACCCCCUCCAGGCCCCCAGACUGCCAGGCUCCAGGAAUAAGUAGCUCUGAGAAAUAUAGUUUUUCGGUGGAAGCCACACUCCACUAUUGCAAAUUGGAGAAGAGAAGGACAAACUUAAAAGGUGAAAAGAUUUAAGAGAACAACAUGGUGAAACCCCAUCUCUACUAAAAAUACAAAAAUUAGCUAGGCGUGGUGACAUGCACCUGUAGUCCCAGCUACUCAGGAGGCUGAGGCAGGAGAAUCAUUUCAACCUGGGAGGCGGAGGUUGCAGUGACCCAAGAUUGCUCCACUGCACUCUAGCCUGGGUGACAGAGCAAGACUCCCUCUCAAGAAAAAAAGAAGAAAG